This 163-nucleotide unclassified non-coding RNA is filed under the name Vanrija musci. RNAcentral's name for it is "partial internal transcribed spacer 2". Lineage: Eukaryota; Fungi; Basidiomycota; Tremellomycetes; Trichosporonales; Trichosporonaceae. RNAcentral also lists the same sequence under 4 other names. The record is from RNAcentral.
UCUCUCAACCAAUAGGGUUUCUUAUUGGCUUGGAUCUGGGUGCUGCCAGCUUGUCUGGCUCGCCUUAAAGGAGUUAGCGAGUAUAGCAAUGUCGUCUGGCGUAAUAAGUUUCGCUGGGUUGACGUGUGAAGCACGCUUCUAAUCGCCCUCGGGCAAUUUUUGA